This 253-nucleotide ribosomal RNA is filed under the name uncultured bacterium. RNAcentral's name for it is "partial 16S ribosomal RNA". It matches the Rfam family "Bacterial small subunit ribosomal RNA", at positions 524 to 776 of the family's 1533-position model. The record is from RNAcentral.
UACGUAGGGUGCAAGCGUUAAUCGGAAUUACUGGGCGUAAAGCGUGCGCAGGCGGUUGUGCAAGACAGAUGUGAAAUCCCCGGGCUUAACCUGGGAAUGGCAUUUGUGACUGCACGGCUAGAGUGUGUCAGAGGGGGGUAGAAUUCCAGGUGUAGCAGUGAAAUGCGUAGAUAUGUGGAGGAAUACCGAUGGCGAAGGCAGCCCCCUGGGAUAACACUGACGCUCAUGCACGAAAGCGUGGGGAGCAAACAGG